GUGGGUAGAGCUCAGUGGUAGAGCACAUGCUUAGCUUGCACAAGGUCCUGGGUUCAAUUCCCAGUACCGCCA
Molecule: transfer RNA, 72 nt
Filed under: Camelus bactrianus (Bactrian camel)
Lineage: Eukaryota; Metazoa; Chordata; Mammalia; Artiodactyla; Camelidae
Also listed under: 2 other names
Rfam family: tRNA
About the family: Transfer RNA (tRNA) molecules are approximately 80 nucleotides in length. Their secondary structure includes four short double-helical elements and three loops (D, anti-codon, and T loops).
Source: Rfam by way of RNAcentral